This 524-nucleotide ribosomal RNA is filed under the name uncultured fungus. Its description in RNAcentral is "eukaryotic LSU rRNA". The stretch from base 136 to 289 matches the Rfam family "5.8S ribosomal RNA". Lineage: Eukaryota; Fungi. The record is from RNAcentral.
CCGUAGGUGAACCUGCGGAAGGAUCAUUACCAAUUUUAGCGAACCUGACCCUUGUUUGGUCAUGGUCUCGCGAAAAACUGUAUUUAAAACCCCACUCUUAAAAAUGAAACUUUUUAUAUAUAAAUAAAAUAAGAUCACUUUCAACAACGGAUCUCUUGGCUCUCGCAUCGAUGAAGAACGUAGCGAAGUGCGAUAAGUAAUGUGAAUUGCAGAAUUCCGUGAAUCAUCGAAUCUUUGAACGCAAAUUGCACUCUCUGGCACCCCGGGGAGUAUGCCUGUUUGAGGGUCAGUUUAAUAAAAAUCGGCGUGUCGCUUUCGUGACGCACCGGAGGUUGGGUCAUCUUAGCUUUUAGGUUAAGAGGCUUAAAAUUGAUAUCUUUUUUGCGCGCUUUUAGACGUACAUAAUUUUUUUAUUCGUCUAUUCCGGUGCCAAAAUUUACUAGGUGCGAUCAUGUUAUAUGGUCUUGUGCCUAUAAUUUCUCAUCUUUUGACCUCAAAUCAGGUAAGGACACCCGCUGAACUUA